CUGUAAUAGCUGGCUUCUCAAAUGUAGCUUCCAAGCGUCAAGAUCAUGCUGUGUUUUUUGCUCUAUCAAUGAAAUUCCUUGAUGCUUGAAGUCAUGCAGUCUCAAAUUCGCUUAGCAGAAUAUAUGUUCUCACCUAAGAGUUUCAGUUUUGCCCAGAAUGUCUUGUAGAAAUCUGAGUGUCCACCACUUUUGCUUCAUGCUUUCUCUUACCUCUGGGCUUUGAUCUGGAUGAUCGGGUCUUUGUUUGCUUAACAGUGUGCUCUGGGAUGUUUAUCACUGCCUUUUCAGUAGAAGGUAGUUCAGGAGGAACAUCUGGCCAUGGCGUUCGUUUUGAUGGGACCGUAAUUUCCAAAGGUGGGUCGAUUAUCCAUCCUGGAGGAAAUUUGCUAUC
Molecule: unclassified non-coding RNA, 391 nt
Filed under: Hevea brasiliensis (rubber tree)
Lineage: Eukaryota; Viridiplantae; Streptophyta; Magnoliopsida; Malpighiales; Euphorbiaceae
Source: RNAcentral